This 70-nucleotide transfer RNA is filed under the name Podarcis lilfordi (Lilford's wall lizard). RNAcentral's name for it is "tRNA.Ile". It matches the Rfam family "tRNA". From Rfam's summary of the family: Transfer RNA (tRNA) molecules are approximately 80 nucleotides in length. Their secondary structure includes four short double-helical elements and three loops (D, anti-codon, and T loops). Lineage: Eukaryota; Metazoa; Chordata; Lepidosauria; Squamata; Lacertidae. The record is from RNAcentral.
GCAUAGCUCAGUUGGUUACAACAUGGUGCUGAUAACACCAAGGUUGCAGGUUCGAUUCCUGUAUGGGACA